CAGCAGCCGCGGUAAUACGUAGGUGGCAAGCGUUGUCCGGAAUUAUUGGGCGUAAAGGGCUCGCAGGCAGUUUCUUAAGUCUGAUGUGAAAGCCCCCGGCUCAACCGGGGAGGGUCAUUGGAAACUGGGAAACUUGAGUGCAGAAGAGGAGAGUGGAAUUCCACGUGUAGCGGUGAAAUGCGUAGAGAUGUGGAGGAACACCAGUGGCGAAGGCGACUCUCUGGUCUGUAACUGACGCUGAGGAGCGAAAGCGUGGGGAGCGAACAGGAUUAGAUACCCCAGUAGUCCCUGUCUCUUAUAA
Molecule: ribosomal RNA, 301 nt
Filed under: uncultured bacterium
Lineage: Bacteria
Description: partial 16S ribosomal RNA
Rfam family: Bacterial small subunit ribosomal RNA
Source: RNAcentral